Molecule: transfer RNA, 88 nt
Filed under: uncultured Sphingomicrobium sp.
Lineage: Bacteria; Pseudomonadati; Pseudomonadota; Alphaproteobacteria; Sphingomonadales; Sphingomicrobiaceae
Rfam family: tRNA
About the family: Transfer RNA (tRNA) molecules are approximately 80 nucleotides in length.
Source: RNAcentral
GCGGACGUGGCGGAACCGGUAGACGCUGGAGACUUAAAAUCUUCUGCCCCUAAUGGGCGUGCGGGUUCGAGUCCCGCCGUCCGCACCA